Molecule: ribosomal RNA, 492 nt
Filed under: uncultured bacterium
Lineage: Bacteria
Description: partial 16S ribosomal RNA
Rfam family: Bacterial small subunit ribosomal RNA
Source: RNAcentral
AUUGAACGCUGGCGGCAUGCUUUACACAUGCAAGUCGAACGGUAACAGGCCUUCGGGUGCUGACGAGUGGCGAACGGGUGAGUAAUGCAUCGGAACGUACCCAGAGGUGGGGGAUAACGCAGCGAAAGCUGUGCUAAUACCGCAUGUGAUCUGAGGAUGAAAGCGGGGGACCGCGCAGCAAUGUUUGGCCUCGCGCCUUUGGAGCGGCCGAUGUCGGAUUAGCUAGUUGGUGGGGUAAAGGCCUACCAAGGCGACGAUCCGUAGCUGGUCUGAGAGGACGACCAGCCACACUGGAACUGAGACACGGCCCAGACUCCUACGGGAGGCAGCAGUGGGGAAUUUUGGACAAUGGGCGCAAGCCUGAUCCAGCAAUGCCGCGUGCGGGAAGAAGGCCUUCGGGUUGUAAACCGCUUUUGGCAGGAACGAAACGGUGUCCGCUAAUACCGGGCGCUAAUGACGGUACCUGCAGAAUAAGCACCGGCUAACUACGUG